GAGUUUGAUCCUGGCUCAGAUUGAACGCUGGCGGUAUGCUUAACACAUGCAAGUCGAACGGAAACGAUACUAGCUUGCUAGUAGGCGUCGAGUGGCGGACGGGUGAGUAACGCGUAGGAAUCUGCCUGAUAGUGGGGGAUAGCCCGAAGAAAUUCGGAUUAAUACCGCAUAAUCUAUUCGUAGUAAAGUGGGGGACUUUCGAGCCUCACGCUAUCAGAUGAGCCUGCGUAAGAUUAGCUUGUUGGUAGGGUAAAAGCCUACCAAGGCGACGAUCUUUAGCUGGUCUGAGAGGAUGAUCAGCCACAUCGGGACUGAGACACGGCCCGAACUCCUACGGGAGGCAGCAGUGGGGAAUAUUGGACAAUGGGGGCAACCCUGAUCCAGCAAUACCGCGUGUGUGAAGAAGGCCUGAGGGUUGUAAAGCACUUUCAAUUGUGAAGAAAAGUUAGCGGUUAAUAACCGUUAGCCUUGACGUUAACUUUAGAAGAAGCACCGGCUAACUCCGUGCCAGCAGCCGCGGUAAUACGGAGGGUGCAAGCGUUAAUCGGAAUUACUGGGCGUAAAGCGUGCGUAGGCGGUUUAUUAAGUCAGAUGUGAAAGCCCCGGGCUUAACCUGGGAACUGCAUUUGAAACUGGUCAACUAGAGUAUGGUAGAGGAAAGUGGAAUUUCUGGUGUAGCGGUGAAAUGCGUAGAUAUCAGAAGGAACAUCAAUGGCGAAGGCAGCUUUCUGGACCAAUACUGACGCUGAGGUACGAAAGCGUGGGUAGCAAACAGGAUUAGAUACCCUGGUAGUCCACGCCGUAAACGAUGAUAACUAGCCGUUGGGGGGAUUUACCCUUUAGUGGCGAAGCUAACGCGUUAAGUUAUCCGCCUGGGGAGUACGGCCGCAAGGUUAAAACUCAAAGGAAUUGACGGGGACCCGCACAAGCGGUGGAGCAUGUGGUUUAAUUCGAUGCAACGCGAAGAACCUUACCUGGUCUUGACAUCCUGCGAACUUUCUAGAAAUAGAUUGGUGCCUUCGGGAACGCAGUGACAGGUGCUGCAUGGCUGUCGUCAGCUCGUGUCGUGAGAUGUUGGGUUAAGUCCCGUAACGAGCGCAACCCCUAUCCUUAUUUGCCAGCACGUCAUGGUGGGAACUAUAAGGAGACUGCCGGUGAUAAACCGGAGGAAGGCGGGGACGACGUCAAGUCAUCAUGGCCCUUACGACCAGGGCUACACACGUGCUACAAUGGGAAGGACAAAGAGCCGCGAAGCCGCGAGGUGUAGCUAAUCUCAUAAACCUUUUCGUAGUCCGGAUUGGAGUCUGCAACUCGACUCCAUGAAGUCGGAAUCGCUAGUAAUCGUAGAUCAGAAUGCUACGGUGAAUACGUUCCCGGGUCUUGCACACACCGCCCGUC
This 1398-nucleotide ribosomal RNA is filed under the name uncultured marine bacterium. RNAcentral's name for it is "bacterial SSU rRNA". It matches the Rfam family "Bacterial small subunit ribosomal RNA". The record is from RNAcentral.